GAUGAACGCUAGCGGCAGGCUUAACACAUGCAAGUCGAGGGGCAGCACGUCUUCGGAUGGUGGCGACCGGCGCACGGGUGCGUAACGCGUAUAGAACCUACCUUUUACAGGGGAAUAGCCCAGAGAAAUUUGGAUUAAUGCCCCAUAGUAUUAUUAGAUGGCAUCAUUUGGUAAUUAAACAUUUAUGGGUAAAAGAUGGCUAUGCGUUCUAUUAGCUAGAUGGUAAGGUAACGGCUUACCAUGGCGACGAUAGAUAGGGGUCCUGAGAGGGAGAUCCCCCACACUGGUACUGAGACACGGACCAGACUCCUACGGGAGGCAGCAGUGAGGAAUAUUGGACAAUGGGCGAGAGCCUGAUCCAGCCAUGCCGCGUGCAGGAAGACGGUCCUCUGGGGUUGUAAAACUGCUUUUUCUACGGGGAAUAAACCCCCUUUAGUGUAAAAGGGCUGAAGGUACCGUAGGAAUAAGCACCGGCUAACUCCGUGCCAGCAGCCGCGU
RNAcentral lists this ribosomal RNA (498 nucleotides) under uncultured bacterium. RNAcentral's name for it is "bacterial SSU rRNA". It matches the Rfam family "Bacterial small subunit ribosomal RNA", at positions 28 to 520 of the family's 1533-position model. The record is from RNAcentral.